Cinara cedri is the source of this 232-nucleotide non-coding RNA. NCBI's taxonomy places the organism in Eukaryota, Metazoa, Arthropoda, Insecta, Hemiptera, Aphididae. The record is from the annotation of a GenBank genome assembly.
GGAUAGAAAGCAUCAGUAAUUAUUAUUAAAAUCACGAAGCAUAAGAAUAACACAAAGAUACUUAUUUGGGCUGCAAUUAGAAGUCAUUUUGUCAGUAUAGGUAAGAAGUUUAUUUUUGUUUUACUUAUAAGGAUUUUUAAAUGGGUAAUUAAUAAUUAAUAAUUAUUAUAGUGUGUAUCAUUGUUCAAUGAGGAGGGCAUCAAGAGGGCUUGAAUAAUGGUGUCCAUUGUUC